Molecule: ribosomal RNA, 403 nt
Filed under: uncultured bacterium
Lineage: Bacteria
Description: bacterial SSU rRNA
Rfam family: Bacterial small subunit ribosomal RNA
Source: RNAcentral
UGGGGAAUAUUGCACAAUGGAGGAAACUCUGAUGCAGCGACGCCGCGUGAACGAUGAAGGCUUUAGGGUCGUAAAGUUCUGUCCUAGGGGACGAUAAUGACGGUACCCUAGGAGGAAGCCCCGGCUAACUACGUGCCAGCAGCCGCGGUAAUACGUAGGGGGCAAGCGUUGUCCGGAUUUAUUGGGCGUAAAGGGUUCGCAGGUGGUCCUUUAAGUCAGAUGUGAAAGAUCACAGCUCAACUGUGGUAAGCAUUUGAAACUGAAGGACUUGAGUUAAGGAGAGGAAAGUGGAAUUCCUAGUGUAGCGGUGAAAUGCGUAGAUAUUAGGAGGAAUACCAGUGGCGAAGGCGACUUUCUGGACUUAUACUGACACUGAGGAACGAAAGCGUGGGGAGCAAACAGG